RNAcentral lists this transfer RNA (59 nucleotides) under Eutreptiella gymnastica. The record is from RNAcentral. Lineage: Eukaryota; Euglenozoa; Euglenophyceae; Eutreptiales; Eutreptiaceae.
UGAUAGCUCAGCGGUUAAAGAGCGUGCCUUACAGUUGGCAGGUUCCGGGUUCGAAUCCC